RNAcentral lists this ribosomal RNA (253 nucleotides) under uncultured bacterium. RNAcentral's name for it is "partial 16S ribosomal RNA". It matches the Rfam family "Bacterial small subunit ribosomal RNA", at positions 524 to 776 of the family's 1533-position model. The record is from RNAcentral.
UACGUAGGGUGCAAGCGUUGUCCGGAAUUAUUGGGCGUAAAGAGCUCGUAGGCGGUCUGUCGCGUCUGCUGUGAAAACUCAGGGCUCAACCCUGAGCCUGCAGUCGAUACGGGCAGACUAGAGUUCGGUAGGGGAGACUGGAAUUCCUGGUGUAGCGGUGAAAUGCGCAGAUAUCAGGAGGAACACCGGUGGCGAAGGCGGGUCUCUGGGCCGAAACUGACGCCGAGGAGCGAAAGCGUGGGGAGCGAACAGG